CUUAGAGAAUUGUAAACUGAAAGUUUAAUCAUCUAAAACAAGGACAGUACAAAAAGUGGCUGUGCGAGUUUCCCUAUAUUACCCCAACACACCUCACCUCCAUUCUGGAAGAAUCACCAUUAGGAGAAAGACAGUUUUGGUCUUCAUGCCCGUUUAAUCCUUUACUUCC
RNAcentral lists this small RNA (169 nucleotides) under Crocodylus porosus (Australian saltwater crocodile). Its description in RNAcentral is "TUC338 (ENSCPRG00005017175.1)". Lineage: Eukaryota; Metazoa; Chordata; Crocodylia; Crocodylidae. The record is from RNAcentral.